This 215-nucleotide ribosomal RNA is filed under the name Klebsiella pneumoniae. RNAcentral's name for it is "partial 16S ribosomal RNA". It matches the Rfam family "Bacterial small subunit ribosomal RNA", at positions 1329 to 1533 of the family's 1533-position model. Lineage: Bacteria; Pseudomonadati; Pseudomonadota; Gammaproteobacteria; Enterobacterales; Enterobacteriaceae. The record is from RNAcentral.
GAAUCGCUAGUAAUCGUAGAUCAGAAUGCUACGGUGAAUACGUUCCCGGGCCUUGUACACACCGCCCGUCACACCAUGGGAGUGGGUUGCAAAAGAAGUAGGUAGCUUAACCUUCGGGAGGGCGCUUACCACUUUGUGAUUCAUGACUGGGGUGAAGUCGUAACAAGGUAACCGUAGGGGAACCUGCGGUUGGAUCACCUCCUUACCUUAAAGAA